Molecule: transfer RNA, 65 nt
Filed under: Phloeosinus perlatus
Lineage: Eukaryota; Metazoa; Arthropoda; Insecta; Coleoptera; Curculionidae
Description: tRNA-Asp
Source: RNAcentral
AAAAACUUAGUUAAAUAUAUAACGCUAGUUUGUCAAACUAGAAUAAUUAAAAAUAAUAGUUUUUA